This is a long non-coding RNA of Uloborus diversus, 247 nucleotides long. RefSeq lists it as uncharacterized. The transcript is spliced from 2 exons. Lineage: Eukaryota; Metazoa; Arthropoda; Arachnida; Araneae; Uloboridae. The record is from RefSeq and is a predicted model, not a curated record.
CAACUUUUUUUUGCAGCUUUUAAGAACAAAAUAAGAUGCCUUCUUUGCACUAAGAUUUUCAAGUAGGAGAGUGGAAUUGCAAGUCCUUUCUCAUCACAGAGCAAAAUGAGAAAAUAUCUACUGAAAAGAGGGAAGGACUCCUCUGGAAUUGAGACCGAGAUGAAGAGAAGGAACAAAUAUUUAUCCGAUAAAAUUCAGAAUCUGCGUUACAAUAAAGUUUAAUUGAAUAAAUUUGAUUUUAAGUGUU